This 442-nucleotide ribosomal RNA is filed under the name uncultured bacterium. RNAcentral describes it as "bacterial SSU rRNA". It matches the Rfam family "Bacterial small subunit ribosomal RNA", at positions 954 to 1392 of the family's 1533-position model. The record is from RNAcentral.
GCUAAACGCGAAGAACCUUACCUGGGCUAGAAAGCGCAAGAACCUCGGUGAAAACUGAGGGUGCCCUUCGGGAACGUUGUGAUUAGGUGCUGCAUGGCUGUCGUCAGCUCGUGUCGUGAGAUGUUGGGUUAAGUCCCGCAACGAGCGCAACCCUUGUCCUUAGUUGCCAGCGAGUAAUGUCGGGAACUCUAAGGAGACUGCCGGUGACAAACCGGAGGAAGGUGGGGAUGACGUCAAGUCCUCAUGGCCCUUACGGCCAGGGCUACACACGUACUACAAUGGUCGGUACAGAGGGUUGCCAAACCGCAAGGUGGAGCCAAUCCCAGAAAGCCGAUCCCAGUCCGGAUCGGAGUCUGCAACUCGACUCCGUGAAGUCGGAAUCGCUAGUAAUCGCGGAUCAGCUAUGCCGCGGUGAAUACGUUCCCGGGUCUUGUACACACCG